This 24-nucleotide non-coding RNA is filed under the name Arabidopsis thaliana (thale cress). Lineage: Eukaryota; Viridiplantae; Streptophyta; Magnoliopsida; Brassicales; Brassicaceae. The record is from RNAcentral.
AGGAGGAAACGCUCCGGUGGACGG